UUCUCGGCUGGGGCUGGGCGGCCUGCGAGUCUGAAGGCGGGAGGAGAUCACCCUCGAAGGAGGUGGGGUCAGAUGCCAACGGCGUCUGGUAGGGGUCAAAAUUACUCAAGGGGCGGUGGGCACCGCGGGCAACGUCCCUGCGGGUACUUGCCUCUCCCUUAAGGCCACGCAGAACCACCCCUCCUGAGAUGCACUUGGGCAGUGACGUAACGUGGCGUCGCCGCAGCCUAACUACCCGAGCGCUUCCAUGGUGACAGACGACUAGGAGGGUGGUCGGGAGCCGUGGUCAUUUUGUUGCUACCUCAAGCUGCUCAAGUCCGAAGGCGCACAGAGUGGUUCAUUCCUGAUCUCUUCCCCGGACUCCCUUUCAGGGAAGAUCGAUAAGAUCAGUUUCUGGACAAAACCCUUUCUACUGACGUAUCUGAGUCUUCUGAUCUCAAGCUGGGCCCCACAAGUUACUGUUUUUCUUAAGUAAAGAGCAGUAGUCUGAGUUAAAGAGCAUCCUUUGUCGGUGUGUAUUACAAAGUGAAACUUGUAAAUUGUUGCAAAUAUUUAAAGAAAGCAUUUAGGGCCCAUCGUACAAAAAACAUCAUCUCAAAUAUUUAUUUGCAAGUGAGUUCUUUGAAACUUAGAACUUGGCCUUCUCAUAGUCAUGGUGAGGUAAAUAAUGGAUUAGUUCCUGGGCUAAUCUACAAGUGUUAUCUGAUCUAUGAUGUCAUUCAAAUAAUGUGCAUUUGCAGUUAAAAAUGUAUCCAUAAGCAAUACUUCUGCAAUGCUUUACAAUUUAAAAAAUGAGAAAGAAAACCCCUCCGUAUUGAGUGAGUAAUUCUUCAUGAAUGCUGGUACUUAAAGAAAGGUGGGUUUUAAUGGUCAAGCAUAAAAAGUUGGUUAGAAGUUGUGGAGUUCUGGGGGAGGAGUUAAGAUGGCGGAGGACUAGGACGGGGAGACCACUUUCUCCCCUACAAAUUCAUCG
Non-coding RNA from Odocoileus virginianus texanus, 973 nucleotides. NCBI's taxonomy places the organism in Eukaryota, Metazoa, Chordata, Mammalia, Artiodactyla, Cervidae. The record is from RefSeq and is a predicted model, not a curated record.